CCCUGACUGAACUCAGGAUGCCCCCGGACCCCGGGAUGCCGCGCUGGAGGCUGCAGGAAGAUUUCCCAGAGGGCCACAUAGGGCACAGAGGGCCACAGUGCGCCCAAAUGUCCACAGACUCUACCCAGACAGCGACCAUUACUCCACCGGGGGCCUGUGCCAUGCCCAGAGAGGCUUCAGGCCCCUGACUGGACUCAGGACGCCCCCGGACCCCGGGAUGCCUCGCUGGAGGCUGCAGGAAGAUUCCCAGAGGGCCACAUAGGGCACAGAGGGCCACAGCGCGCCCCAGUGUCCACAGAUUCUGCCCAGACAGCGACCAGGACUCCACCGGGGGCCUGGGCCGUGCCCAGAGAGGCUUCAGGUCUCAGCAGCUGGGAUCAAAGAAGCAGCCACCCAUCCAUUCCUUAGAGAAGGCCCCUGACCGUACUCAGGACGCCCCAGGACCCCGAGAUGCUGCGCUAGAGGCUGCAGGAAGAUGCUUACAGGGCACAGAGGGCCACAGUGCGCCCCAGUGUCCACAGACUCUGCCCAGACAGCGACCAUGACUCCACCUGGGGCCUGGGCCCUGGCCAGAGAGGCUUCAGGUAUCACCAUCCGUGAACAAACCAGCAGCUUCCCUACCACAUCCAUACAGUCGUCAGAGAAGGUAUCAGCAUCCGUGAACAAACAAGCAGCUUCCCUACCACAUCCAUCCAGUCGUCAGAGAAGGUAAGGCAUCUUUCUUUUGUGACAGUCCAAGGACCGCUCUACUAUAUCUCCAUUGAACAAGGUGUCCAUUCAAAGCUAGUGGCUUACGUAACAGCAAGUACAAGCAGUAGAGAUAAAUUCUGGUGACACUGCCAGUGGCCCCUUAUUUUGCCUCAGACAUACCAUUGUCAACCUCAUUCUGAUUGCCUAGUUUCCUUAAGAUUGUGGCUUUCAGCCAUUUGUGAUUCCUACAUUGAUUGAUCUGUUUAUUUUUUUGUUUAAUUUUAACUUUGGUUAUUUGACUUUAUAAUUUCCCCUUUUUAUGUCUAAUUUCUUGAGUUGUUUAUAUUUUUGGUAUAUCUAUGUAAUUGAGUUUUGUGCCUGUUGAUUGAUAUGCCUCUUUUUUCAUUUUUCUACAUGUUGAAAUCCAGUUAUGCUGGCACCAUUUGUUUAAGAUGCUUUCUUUGUUUGGUUGGCUAAUUUUACCUUCUUUGUAAAAGAUGAGCUGUUCAUCAGUGUUGAUUAUUAUGUGUGUUUUGGAUUUUAUUCUAGUAGUCAAGUCUCUGUUUUUAUACCAUUACCAAGCUGUUUCCAUUACUGUCUCUCUGUGGUGGAGGUUGAUGGAUUGUCAUGCCUCUGGAAGUUCCUUUCCUUUACAGGAUUGUGUCUGCUACCUUCGGUUUUUUUAUUAUUGAUGAAGGUGAUUGUUUUUAUCUAAACUGACAUUAAUAAUUUAUUGAUAUUUUGAUGUGGGUUACAAUUAUAUAGAUUGCUUUUGGUAUGAUUAGCAGUCAUAUCAUGUUAAUCCUCUGUUCAAGAACAUUGGGAGAUCUUUCCAUUUCCUGCUGUAUUCAUCAGUGUUUUUCUACAAAAGCUUUAUGUUAAUUUCAUGGAUGUCUUUAACUAUAGUUAGUUUUAUCAGUUAUCAUUUAUUGCUUUAUGGUCCCUGGGUAUUGAUUUCAUUUAAAUGAGGACACUGGAUGAAGUGUAUGAAUAACUGCAUAAGAUUAAUUUCGUAUGAACUUUUAUACACACUAAAAAGCAUUGCUUCAACUUUGAAACCCCCCUUGACUCACAUACAUGUUCAUGAGAAACUUUUGACUCUCUUUGCAAGAGACAAUACCUCAAUAAAAACGAAAUGAAGUACAUAGAAACCAGGCUAAAAGAAUGCAGAAGCAAAGUACUCCUUUAUAACUGGUAGAGUGUGAAGAACUGAGCUCACAAGCCAAUUCUUUAUCCAUUGUAUAGAUUCUCACAUAACAUUUUAGGAUUGUGCAUAGUUAGCUUUCGUCUAUUCUUGGUUUCCCAAGCAAUUGUUUCCUAACUUCAUUUUAUCUGUCCCAGGAGUUGCCUUAA
Molecule: long non-coding RNA, 2043 nt
Organism: Chionomys nivalis (European snow vole)
Lineage: Eukaryota; Metazoa; Chordata; Mammalia; Rodentia; Cricetidae
Exons: 6
Source: RefSeq, a predicted model, not a curated record